Molecule: long non-coding RNA, 680 nt
Organism: Hevea brasiliensis (rubber tree)
Lineage: Eukaryota; Viridiplantae; Streptophyta; Magnoliopsida; Malpighiales; Euphorbiaceae
Exons: 2
Source: RefSeq, a predicted model, not a curated record
GGUGUGCUUAGGAAAGUAUGAAGUGUUUAGUAAAUUGUGUUACAUUAAUAUAGAUGCUAAUAACUAGAAGAUUAAGUUCUAUGUAUCUAGUAUGAAGUGUCUACUAUAUAAACCCCUAUGGUAUAUGUGUUCAUGUAGAGAGAAGAAAAGAAUAAGAAAGAGACGUGUAGAGAAAGUAAUAGACAUAUCAAGUAUUCUCUCUCCCUGUAAUUCCUUUGUUUAUCCUGUUUAUCUUGUUUAUGUGUUAAUCCUCUCCGAACAAAGUAGUACAAAGUAGCAUCAAUCCAAUACGCUUCCAGCUAGUAUCAAAGUUGCAUCCAACAAUUGGCACACACAGAUGAACAAAAAGAGAACAUUGGAGGAACUUGCCAUAUUUCACCACAAAAAGAAGCAGCAGCUUUCCUUAUGUCCACAUCUUUGAUGUGCUCCCAAGGCUCACGCUGGAUAACCUAAAAAGGGCAGUUUACAAAUAAAGAUUUGGAUGAUGCAUAGAAGUAGAUUCAAGAUACAACAUCAAAUUCAAAUUUCUAUGGUGUCCAACAAGCAACAAGAUGAUGUUAAUGAAGAUCUAGUGCAAAAAGUUUGAACUAACAUGUAGUGCUAUUCACAUUCCACAAACCUUUCAAUUUUAUGCAGUGACUAUAUCGCCGUUGUAUUAAUGGAUCAAAGAUUUUAAAACA